This 497-nucleotide ribosomal RNA is filed under the name uncultured bacterium. RNAcentral describes it as "partial 16S ribosomal RNA". It matches the Rfam family "Bacterial small subunit ribosomal RNA", at positions 28 to 507 of the family's 1533-position model. The record is from RNAcentral.
GAUGAACGCUGGCGGCGUGCCUAAUACAUGCAAGUCGAGCGAACAGACGAGGAGCUUGCUCCUCUGACGUUAGCGGCGGACGGGUGAGUAACACGUGGAUAACCUACCUAUAAGACUGGGAUAACUUCGGGAAACCGGAGCUAAUACCGGAUAAUAUAUUGAACCGCAUGGUUCAAUAGUGAAAGACGGUUUUGCUGUCACUUAUAGAUGGAUCCGCGCCGCAUUAGCUAGUUGGUAAGGUAACGGCUUACCAAGGCAACGAUGCGUAGCCGACCUGAGAGAGUGAUCGGCCACACUGGAACUGAGACACGGUCCAGACUCCUACGGGAGGCAGCAGUAGGGAAUCUUCCGCAAUGGGCGAAAGCUUGACGGAGCAACACCGCGUGAGUGAUGAAGGUCUUCGGAUCGUAAAACUCUGUUAUUAGGGAAGAACAAAUGUGUAAGUAACUAUGCACGUCUUGACGGUACCUAAUCAGAAAGCCACGGCUAACUACGUG